Molecule: long non-coding RNA, 3756 nt
Filed under: Sus scrofa (pig)
Lineage: Eukaryota; Metazoa; Chordata; Mammalia; Artiodactyla; Suidae
Description: lncRNA (ENSSSCG00055024502.1)
Source: RNAcentral
UUUUUUUUUUUUUUUUUUUUUUUUUUUGGUUUUUAGGGCCGCACCUGCAGCAUAUGGAAGUUCCCAGGCUAGGGGUUGAAUCAGAACUGCAGCUCCCAGCCUAUACCCCAGCCACAGCAAUGCCAGAUCUGAGCUGUGUCUGGGACCUGCACCACAGCUCACAGCAACACCAGAUCCUUAAGCCACUGAGCAAGGCCAGGGAUCGAACCUACAUCCUCAUGAAUACUAGUCAGAUUCGUUACCACUGAGCCACAACAGGAACUCCUAUUUGUGAUUCUUACUGAGGUGAAAAAAGGGGUUUGUGCCUUAGAGAAAUAUUUUCAGUAGCAUGGACAACUUAAAAAAAAAAAAAAAAGGCAUGCUGGUUAACUUUCAGAAAACUGUUAGCCAGAAAUGCAUAGUUCUUCAAGAAUUCAAGUUCAGAUCCCCAAGUCAGGCCAGCUGUGUGGGUGGUCACAAGGGGAUUUCACAGGGUUAGAGGGUGCCUAUACCUACUGUGAGCUGUUUUCUGUUUUUCUGAAGAUUCAGGCCUGGAGUUCCCAUCGUGGCUCAGCAGAAACAAAGCCAACUAGGAACCAUGAGGUUGCAGGUUCGAUCCUUGGCCUCACUCUGUGGGUUAAGAAUCCGGUGUUGCCACGAGCUGUGGUGCAGAUUGCAGAUGUGGCUUGGAUCCUGCGUUGCUAUGGCUGUGGUGUAGGCCGGUGGCUGCAGCUCCAAUUAGACCCCUAGCCUGGGAACCUCCUCGAGUGCACACAGUUUUACACACCUGUCACAUGCCCUAGAAUAUCCGCAGACACACACUCACUCACCAACCUGCACCCCUGCCCUGUCUCCUACACCUGAUUUGGCAAAAUCCACCCCUCAGCAUGCAGAUGGGUGAGCAGACACCUUGCUCGCAGAGCCAGGAUGGAACUGCCCUGUUUAGCGCGCAUCCUGCUCGCUCUCUGCCCAUGAUGACUGCCAUCCUCCGGCUGAUACUCAGACGCGGGGACCCGACUCCUCUCCCAGUCACGCAGUCUUAGGCGGGAAACACACACAAGCCUUUGUAAACCUGCUGGGUGCUUAUAACUCUGUGCGCUGUCAUUUCCUGUACCUCCACUCCAUCCCAGCCCUUGUGUGCUUAGAUGCCUGGAUCUACAAGACUGAGGGGAGAUGGAGGCAGAGGGGUUAAGUCCCUUCCGUAGGGCACCCAGCCAAGACCAGGGCUAUCUGAUUCCACAGCCUGCACCUCUCCCCACUGAGCUCCUGACUCAGACCCGGGGCCAACCUAAGGUGACCGGGAUGGCGUGUGACCCCAGGGAGAUUUGACGCCCCAGCCUGCACCUGCUAGAUCACAGCCCCCUGUUAAAUCUCUUCCUUGAUGGGCACCCCUCAAACCUGAGGACAGGCGUGAAAGGCAAAUAACAAAGGUGGCAAGUGAGAGAGCAAGUUACGAGGACCCUCAUUUCGAGGGGAUCUUUUGAAUAAGCCCUAAGGCGAGUGUUCCAGCAAAGUCCAGCUCUCCCCAGUCAGCCAGGGCCCAUGGGCACCCAUCUAAGGCAGGUGUUCCCAGCCUCAGCACUAAUGAGACUGUGGACCUGGGCAUCUUUUCCUGCAGUAGGUGCUCCUGUGCAUUGCAGCAUCCCUGGCCUCUACCCACCAGAUGCCAGCAGGACCUGCCAUUAGCUGUGACAGCCACAAACAUGCCCAAACAUUGCCAAAUGCCCCCUGCGAGCAAAAUCACACUAGACUGAACACUGCUGGUCUGGGGCCUCUGGGGAACCACUACAGAACAGGGUUUGGAAAAAGCAGAGGCUAUAGGAGGUGGGUUAGGGGUGUAGGACUGCUGAGCCAAGGGAAGCCAGGACCAAAAGAGGUUUUCACGGACCACUGCCUGGCCCCCGGCCCGUGGGAUGAGCUUACAGUCCCCCGCCCUGGGGCUGCAGAGAGAGACAUAAAUGAAUGGUACAGACCCUCCCAAUUUUCUGGUGUGUGACAGUUUGCACCCCCAUGCUUUGAGAUUUGGGACAAGCAGGCCAAUCUGGGCUGAAGUUUGCCUUCUUCCUCAGCUGAAGGGAGAACCAGCAGAACUGAGGAGCGUGUCAAGGGGACAGCCGAGGUGCAAGUUCCAGCCCCCUCCCCACAAGGACCAACUGUUUCCCAUCUUAGAGGCUUCUCCUCCCAGGAGCACUCAAGGUUCUGGAUGCAGAUGACAUUGACCCAGGAGAAAAGACCCAAAAGACCUUCAGGCACACACGUCAUACGUCACAGAGGACAGCUGCGGAAAAACUGGAUAAUCUGGCUCUCUCAGGAUCUCAGAGCAUCCUGCCAUGCCCAGAGUGUGUGGGCCUUAACAAGUGAGGCUGGGAGGUGUGCCUGAUGGAGAAAAGCUAGCAUCCUAUGCCCCCUCCCGCAGCAAGGCCCCCACCCCCUUGAAGCUGGCCUGGAGGUCAAGGCACUCAGGGGUCUGCGGGGAUUGGGUCCUGGGCAGCUACAUGGGCUUGUGGGCAGAACCAGGACUUAAGCAGCCCCAGCUCCUCCUGCGAAGCCUGAUCCUCACCCCUUCUACCCCCAGAUGCAGACCUCAGGAUUGAAAAAAAACAAGAUCAAUUUUGAAAAGUCACACCAGAGUCUUGAAACCCACUGGCUUUGGAGAGAUCCUGCCACCUUGCUCUCUGUCUCCUUGCUCCGGGGGUGCGGUCCUCAGCCCCACAGCAGCAGGGAUUCCCCGGAGCUGGUUAGACAUGCAGAUUCCUGGGCCCCAUCCAGAGCAUCUGAAGCCCAGUCUGCAUAUUAGCAAACUCCUUGGGUGAUCUGGGGCCCAGUAAUAUCUGAGGGGUGCUGCCUCCCCCAGAGCAGCCGCUCACAGUAAAAGUGCCCUUUAAUUUCACAGCCCCUCCUCCUGUGAUCCCACAUAUCCACCCUCAUCUUAAGGAGAUGCCACACACCCUCGCAGCCUUGCUCCCACAGUCCCGUGUACCCAACAGCCAAGAAGACCUCCGACUUGCCCGCCCCUCUCCAUCUCUCCUACUAGAAUUGCUUUGAAUUACACCUGUUCUAUCCUCAGCACCUCAGGGCUUCAAUAGCACUUCAUUGGCUUAAUGACAAUGAGUCACUGGCUGUUUUUGGGCUUAAUUGUGGCUGUUUCAAUAAACCCAAGACCUUUAUUGAGGCUUUUAUCUGUAGGGGUAGCAGCAAGGACUGGUCCCGGGGCACAGAGCCGGCAGGGAAGUCGGCUGAGCUGAGAGAGUGGGUGGCCCUUGUCUCCUGACAUUUGCUCCUGGAGCCUCUGCCUCCAGGGUAAAGACCUGGAAAUCUCUGAGAACAAUAGCUUAAGCAGUGCCUGAGAUCACAAGGAGGGUGGGCGGCAGGCAGAAGGCAAGGCUGUGCCCCGAGGCCACUCCUUGGAGCAUUGACCUCCCCCACCCCCAGCCCAGGGGCAGGGGUGGGGGACGGACGCAGAUGGACCAGGGGCUGCUCCCAGGUUUCCCAGCCCCAUAGGCAGCAUUCCCCAAAGUCUACUAUAGCUCCAGUACUACCUCCCAAAGCUUUCUCUGGGCCUUAGCAAUUUGAGCUGAGAGUUAGUGAUCCCAUCUGUGAAAUGGGAGGGCAUAACCCCGCUCUUUAUAAGAAUGCAUCCUUUUUUUUUUUUUUUUUNUUUUUUUUUUUUUUUUUUUUUUUGGUCUUUUUGCCUUUUCUAGAGCCGCUACUGUGGCAUAUGGAGAUUCGCAGGCUAGGGGUCUAAUUGGAGGUACAGCUGCCGGCCUACACCACAGC